RNAcentral lists this ribosomal RNA (322 nucleotides) under uncultured Bacillota bacterium. RNAcentral describes it as "bacterial SSU rRNA". It matches the Rfam family "Bacterial small subunit ribosomal RNA", at positions 28 to 351 of the family's 1533-position model. The record is from RNAcentral. Lineage: Bacteria; Bacillati; Bacillota.
GACGAACGCUGGCGGCGUGCCUAACACAUGCAAGUCGAGCGGAGACAGUAGUAAUAUUGUCUUAGCGGCGGACGGGUGAGUAACGCGUGGGUAACCUGCCUUGAACAGGGGGAUAACACUGGGAAACUAGUGCUAAUACCGCAUAACACAUUCGUGUGGCAUCACAUGAAUGUCAAAGGAGAAAUACGGUUUGAGAUGGACCCGCGUCCGAUUAGCUAGUUGGUGGUGUAACGGACCACCAAGGCGACGAUCGGUAGCCGAACUGAGAGGUUGAUCGGCCACAUUGGGACUGAGACACGGCCCAGACUCCUACGGGUGGCAG